UUUGAUUCUGGCUCAGAUUGAACGCUGGCGGCAUGCUUUACACAUUGCAAGUUCGGAACGGCAACACAGACAACCUUUGCUUCUUUGCGUGGCGAGUGGCGAACGGGUUGAGUAACAUAUCAGAACCUACCCACCAUCGUGGGAUAACUAAUCUAAAGAUUAGCUAAUACCGCAUAUUUUUUCUGAUGAAUACAACAGGGGACCCUUUGGCCUGUCUUCUUGUUUGAGCGGCCGAGUAUCUGAUUACCUACUUCGUGGGGUAAAGGCCUACCAAGGCGACGAUCAUUACCGGGUCUCAGACGAUGAUCCUCCACACUGGGACUGAGACACAGCCCAGACUCCUACUGGAGGCAGCAGUGGGGAAUUUUGGACAAUGGGCGCAAGCCUGAUCCAGCCAUGCCGCGUGUCUGAAAAAGGCCUUCGGGUUGUAAAUGACUUUUGUCAUGGAAGAAAAGGGCGGGGUUAAUACCCCUGUCUGAUGACUGUACCUGAACAAUAAACACCGGCUAACUACAUGCCAUCAGCCCCGGUAAUACUUAAGGUGCGAGCGUUAAUCUGAAUUACUGUGCGUAAAGCGGGCGCAUACGGUUACUUAAGCAGGAUGUGAAAUCCCCUGGCUCAACCUGGGAACUGCGUUCUGAACUGGGUGACUACAGUGUGUCAGAGGGAGGUAGAAUUCCACGUGUAGCAGUGAAAUGCGUAGAGAUGAGGAGGAAUACAGAUGGCGAUGGCAGCCUCCUGGGAUAACACUGAGGUUCAGGCCGGAAAGCGUGGGUAGCAAACAGGAUUAGAUACCAUGGUAGUCCACGCCGUAAACGAUGUCCAUUAGCUGUUGGGCAGCAUGACUGGUUAGUAGUGAAGCUAACGCGUGAAAUCGACCGGAUGGGGAGUACGGUCGCAAGAUUAAAACUCAAAGGAAUGGACGGGGACCCGCACAAGCGGUGGAUGAUGAGGAUUAAUUAGAUGGAACGAGAAGAACAUUACCUGGUCUUGACAUGUACGGAACCCUCCAGAGAUGGAGGGGUGCCUUGGGGAGCGGUAACACAGGUGGCGCAUGGCUGUUGUCAGCUCGUGUCGUGAGAUGUUGGGUUAAGUCCCGCAACGAGCGCAACCCUUGUCAUUAGUUGCCAUCAUUAAGUUGGGCACUGUAAUGAGACUGCCGGUGACAAGCCGGAGGAAGGUGGGGAUGACGUCAAGUCCUCAUGGCCCUUAUGUACCAGGGCUUCACACGUCAUACAAUGGUCGGUACAGAGGGUAGGCAAGCCGGGAGGGGGAGCCAAUCUCACAGAACCGAUUGUAGUCGGAAUUGCAUUUUGCAAUUGGAGCGCAGGAAGUGGGAAUGGUUAGUAAUGGCAAGUCAGCAUACUGCGGUGAAUACGUUCCCGGGUCUUGUACACACCGCCCGUCA
RNAcentral lists this ribosomal RNA (1408 nucleotides) under uncultured bacterium. Its description in RNAcentral is "16S ribosomal RNA". It matches the Rfam family "Bacterial small subunit ribosomal RNA". The record is from RNAcentral.